UAAAACUUACUCAUCUUAAUAAAACUCGUCAUUUUUAUUCAUUAAUACUCAAUUGAAAACAGUCUAUGAAAGACAGCAUAAAACUUAAUUAAUAUCAUUAAUCAAGUUAUACAUCAUAUGAAACCAUUCUAUUAAGACUCAAAGUAUGACAUAACAUACUAUAACAUCAACAACAUCUUGCAGCGGAAAGUAGCUAGACAUAUGUAUGAAGACAUAUUCUAGACAUGGUAACUAUUUAUUAACAACCCUGGAGACUCCGCUCAUUGCAGCACCAUCACCACAUUAGCUCAACCUGCACAUUUAGAAAACAUAUGCAGGGCUGAGUACAAAAGUACUCAGUGGGCACGUAUGCCUAAGUAUAAAAAUACAUGCUUCAAAACUGUAAAUUGUCAUGCCAUCAUAAACAGUACAGCAAGGGAGUUUUUCGCUAAAAAGGCCCAAGCUUACUAAAUUCAUUUGUGAUUCUUAAAGUUCGUCUGAUCAGACUAAGUUCUUUUGUAAUCUAUCAUAUC
This 512-nucleotide long non-coding RNA is filed under the name Salvia miltiorrhiza (redroot sage). RNAcentral's name for it is "long non-coding RNA (SMIL_LNC005591)". Lineage: Eukaryota; Viridiplantae; Streptophyta; Magnoliopsida; Lamiales; Lamiaceae. The record is from RNAcentral.